UACGUAGGGUGCAAGCGUUGUCCGGAAUUAUUGGGCGUAAAGAGCUCGUAGGCGGUUUGUCGCGUCUGCUGUGAAAACUCGGGGCUUAACCCCGGGCCUGCAGUGGGUACGGGCAGACUAGAGUGCGGUAGGGGAGACUGGAAUUCCUGGUGUAGCGGUGAAAUGCGCAGAUAUCGGGAGGAACACCGGUGGCGAAGGCGGCAUCCUGGACCAAUUCUGACGCUGAGGAGCGAAAGCCAGGGGAGCAAACGGG
RNAcentral lists this ribosomal RNA (253 nucleotides) under uncultured bacterium. RNAcentral describes it as "partial 16S ribosomal RNA". It matches the Rfam family "Bacterial small subunit ribosomal RNA", at positions 524 to 776 of the family's 1533-position model. The record is from RNAcentral.